RNAcentral lists this ribosomal RNA (796 nucleotides) under Cantharellus cibarius (golden chanterelle). RNAcentral's name for it is "eukaryotic LSU rRNA". It matches the Rfam family "Eukaryotic large subunit ribosomal RNA", at positions 103 to 911 of the family's 3401-position model. The record is from RNAcentral. Lineage: Eukaryota; Fungi; Basidiomycota; Agaricomycetes; Cantharellales; Hydnaceae.
AAGAGCUCAUCAUUGGAAUCUGGCAGUGUUUCACUGUCCGAGUUGUAGAUGAGGAGUAGUCCGUCUGGACUGCAUGGCGUCCAAGUACAAUAGGCCGUCAGUGGGACAUCAUAGAGGGUGACAAUCCCGUCCUUGACGCCAAUGUGCAAGUCUAUUACGAUGGCUAUCUCAGAGAGUCGAGCAGUUUGGGAUUUGCUGCUUAAACAUGGGAGGUAGAUUCCUUCUAAAGCUAAAUACAGGCGAGAGACCGAUAGAGAACAAGUACCGCAAGGGAAAGAUGAAAUAGCACUCUGUGAAGGGAGUCAAAAGGCGUGAAAUUGUUGCGAGAGAAGCGAUUCAAGUCAGCGUAGCUAGGCCCAUCAAGCGUCUUCGCUUUGGACUAGCUUUGCCAGCGGUCUUGUCCCUUAAAGAGACUUGACUUGUAAUAUGUCCAGCCUGGCGUGCACAGGCAGCCCCUUCUGGGGGGCCAGUGACAUGGCUGGUGGAAUGGCUUGCAAUCGACCCGUCUUGAAACACGGACCAAGGAGUCUAACAUGUAUGCGAGUAUAAGGGUGGCAAACCCGUAUGCGCAAUGAAAGUGAUUUUCGGUGAUUGAGAAUGGCCUGAUGACCAGACAAGCAAUAUAUGUCCCUCGUACGGCCAUUGCCCAAGUUCCGUGGUAGAUCCCACGAACAUGGAGUUGGAGCAUACAUGCUAGGACCCGAAAGAUGGUGAACUAUGCCUGGACAAAGCGAAGCCAAAGGAAACUCUGGUGGAGGCUUGUAGCGAUUCUGACGUGCAAAUCGAUCGUCUGAUC